UUUAAAGCCUGUUUCCUCUACUUUGGUAAUUAGUGAAAAAACAGAACACUUGCCAAUGUUUCCUUCCGCGCCUGUUGUCUUUUACUUACCAGUUUUUUAAUAAUGUAAUGAAAACUCAAAUAGGAAACAGCAAACAUGGAAUAUUAUUGUGUAAACCUCAGUUUCUCUCUGAUGCAUUGCUCAGUCUCUGUUUUGAUAAUGUCAGUUAACUUAGGCUCUCAAUAACGAAAAUCAAUUCUAAUUUCUAUCAACGUUCAGCAAGUUUGGUGCAUUAAGAUCCAUUGAAGCUGGCAUUUUGACUACACAAAUUCAAAUAUAGUUGAUUCUUAUCAAUCACUUUUGAUAACAGACAUAAAACUUUAUAUAACACAUUUUCCUUUUCCUACUGUCUUUUAUAGCACUGUUUAUUUGGAAGUCUUUGGGGAGCCCAGGGAUUGCUGAAUGCUCUCCUUCCUGUUUUGAGCCAAGAGCCAAGAUUCUAAAUUUCAUGAUAUUGAACUAUGACCAGGUGGUGAAACAUAGCUGAAGCUCACAGAAGAGAAAUGAUCUAAUUCUCUAAUUUCUUGCUUGGAUUGAGGAAUGGAAAGCUUUUAGGAAACAUAACAGUAUUACUCCCUCCAACCAACACAAAAAUCCAUGUGACUGUGAUAAUUUAAUUAAUAUACGAUAUGUGGAUAAAUUCUAACAACUUAUUUACAGGCUAUGAAAUUUUUAAUGUCUUUAACUGAAAUGUUUUAAAAUGCAGUUGAGACUGAAAUAUUUUCUGAAAUAUUCAAUUAUCUUUUAUUGUUUAUAAAAUGAAUGAUGGGAAAAUAAAUGUAAACCCAGAUAAUGCUUUUAUCUCUAUGAAAGCAUAAAUUCCUUAUUGUUAAGCAACUGCAAAAUCCUUUUAUGUGUUUAAUGAUGUGGCUAUUAUAAAACUAGAUUGAAUAAACUGCUCAUUGUUCUAUGUCUUCUCAUGAGGCAGUUUCAUUAGGAACAAUUAGGUCGAAGGGCCAGCCUGGUGGCGCAGAAGUUAAGUGUGCACAUUUCGCUUCAGCAGCCUGAGGUUCGCAGGUUCGGAUCCCUGUUGUGGACGUGGCACCUCUUGGCAAGCUAUGCUGUGGUAGGGCGUCCCACAUGUAAACUGGAGGAAGGUGGGCACGGAUGUGAGCUCAGGGCCAGUCUUCUUCAGCAAAAAGAGGAGGAUUGGCAGCAGAUGUUAGCUCAAGGCUAGUCUUCCUCAAAAAAAAGAGAACAGUUUGGUCACACUGUGUGAAGAUGUCAUCAGCUAUGUUGCUCAUUUAAAUUGUAAAACAUUUGAACAACGUAGUAUUUGGGAGAAUUGCAUCUAUAUUAGAAGCCUGAGUUUCCACUUUGGGAUUUUUAACGAAAAUAUUUUCAUUAUGUCUUAAUUUAACUUUGAAUCCUUAACUUUUUCUUUAUAGUAUUGUUUUUGUAUUGGGCUUAUUAUUAGACUUGAGUCCUGAAAAUUUGUGAGCUCCAAGUUCAAACCAGCCUCCAAGGUUAAGUGGAAAUCUUGUGUUUAUUUGUAAUAAAUAAAUCCCUCAGAGCUGUCUUUUCAGAACAUUAUCACUUCCUCAGUUUCCCUUCCUUACCCGUUCUUCUGCCAGUACUGUGAUGCUUACUUUUAACUCACCUGUGUCUUU
Molecule: long non-coding RNA, 1649 nt
Organism: Equus asinus (donkey)
Lineage: Eukaryota; Metazoa; Chordata; Mammalia; Perissodactyla; Equidae
Source: Ensembl